RNAcentral lists this long non-coding RNA (1507 nucleotides) under Zonotrichia albicollis (white-throated sparrow). RNAcentral describes it as "lncRNA (ENSZALG00000012444.1)". The record is from RNAcentral. Lineage: Eukaryota; Metazoa; Chordata; Aves; Passeriformes; Passerellidae.
UGUACUAUACUCAGUGUGCUAAAAGAGACCUUGGCUUUUUUUUUCCACACCCUCCCCCCCCUCAACUCUCUCCAGAAAACUGUGACCAUAUGUGAAUCCAUGAGCCACAAUUCAGAAUCCAAUCAGCUGCCUUAGGUUUCUGAUAAGAGAUCAUAUUGUAGUGAGGGCUCUCUUGCCUUUGAUAACCCUUGCGUCUAAAACCAGAAUAUGUGUAUUUUUCUCAACUCAGUGGGGGUGUUUUAUCACCCUGUGCUCACAUUCUUCACUCUCUCACUCAAGCUGGUCAUAGCUGUUUAAUGGUUAUCACUGUGCCAUCUGUAAAAGUGUUACAUGGUUCUCUGCAGUCCUGCUCAGAGACGUCUAUUCCUCCUAAAUCGUGUCUCUGUGGGUGCUGGUCACAGAAACUCAGCACUCCUGGAGCCGACUGGUGAUUCAUACCUGCAGAGUUCCCUGAUGCUGGCUGUGCUGAAGCCAGAGAUGUCGCCAGUAUCUCUGUGGGUGAGAUAAAGAUGCAAAAUGAUUUGGUGUUGCAUGCUGGCCUUCUCCUGAGUUAGUCCUGGAAGCUUUGUGAUGGUAAGUUACAACUUCAUCAGGAAUGCUUACAGUUUAACUUCACUGCUCUUCCCUUUUGACAGCAGUGGUCACAAAUAUGAUGUCUCCAUAAAUCUGCUACUCAGGCCAUGGCAUUGAUAAUAACCCAUUAUAUGAGGCUGAAGCGAGUCUAAAGAAUUGCCUUGGUGUGACUCUUAAACAUGGCAUAGGAUUUUUGAUUCCACUCUUAGGAUUUCAUUUACAUAGGUGGGGACAUGGGAAUGAAGGAAGCCUCCAAAGCUUAACAUGAGCAUCUGGAUGGGAUGGUAAUGAAGUUUCACUGUGGGAGAGAUUUUGAAGGCAUGGAGAUGGCAUUGUGAGUUGCUCUGAAAGCUGCCAAUUGUUGUCAGUAUGUUGACAAUUAUUUUCAAUUUGUUUUGUUUUGGUUUUUAAUUGUGAAAAUGUUCCCAGAAGCUUAGUAAAUGAGGACAUGUUCUUAUAAAUAUUGAGCUAAAAUGUAAAAGCUCACAUGGCCCAGCUUUGGUUAUGAAACCUACUUCUUGCAGUUGGUGUCAUUCUGCCCCUUGAAGGCCUGUGUUCAGAAGUGGUGCCUCUAGUUGUAGGAUGAGGGUAUUUAUCUCAGCCUACAAUGAGACAAUGCUUAGAGUAUGCUUCUUUUAAGCUGCACAUGCAGCCUUACAAAUGGAUUUAAUCCCACUCCAGCACAUGGCUUUGUUUGUGGACGUAGGAUGCCAGGAAAUAACAAUAUAUUCUGUAUGAUAUUUAUAAGCUGCAUGCAAAACUGCUGAACCAAAAACCUAGUCUUCAAAAAUUAAGAUCAGGAUUGUGUUUGCAGACAUGUUUUGUAGUUAGUUUUCUUUCAUCCCUUAGAUAUUUUCUUUUUCAAAGAUGAUGGAGGUUGUUGAAACUUCUGGUUGUUCAUUGAAUUCAAAAAUUGUUUAUGAAAUACCACCUC